This 74-nucleotide transfer RNA is filed under the name Roseiconus nitratireducens. It matches the Rfam family "tRNA". Rfam says of the family: Transfer RNA (tRNA) molecules are approximately 80 nucleotides in length. Their secondary structure includes four short double-helical elements and three loops (D, anti-codon, and T loops). Further hydrogen bonds mediate the characteristic L-shaped molecular structure. tRNAs have two regions of fundamental functional importance: the anti-codon, which is responsible for specific mRNA codon recognition, and the 3' end, to which the tRNAs corresponding amino acid is attached (by aminoacyl-tRNA synthetases). tRNAs cope with the degeneracy of the genetic code in two manners: having more than one tRNA (with a specific anti-codon) for a particular amino acid; and 'wobble' base-pairing, i.e. permitting non-standard base-pairing at the 3rd anti-codon position. Lineage: Bacteria; Pseudomonadati; Planctomycetota; Planctomycetia; Pirellulales; Pirellulaceae. The record is from Rfam by way of RNAcentral.
CAGGAUGUGGGAAAGCUUGGUAUUCCGCGUGCUUCGGGUGCACGAGAUCGCUGGUUCAAAUCCAGUCGUCCUGA